GUUGUGGGAACCUCCAAUCUGUAGCCUCUGGGUUAGAAGCAUAGGAAACAACCUAAGCUUUCAACUGGCAUCUUCUGGGAAUGAGCCCUUAACCUGUGGAAUUCAAUGCCAUCUCCAGGUGGACAGAGUCAGAACUAUGUUGAAUUUUAGGAUGCUCACCUGGUGUCCAGGGAAUUACUUGGUGAUGAGGUGUGAGGAAAUCCCCCCACCCCCACCACACACACAUUGGAAUUUGUGACCAGAAUUUUUAGUCACAUUUGCAGGUUCCGGCUGGAUGUGAAUUUUGGUGGGACACUAUUGAACCCAGUAAACGUAGUGAGAAAGAAAUGUAUUCUGAGACAGACCCAAGCUAAGGACCUUGUUGAGAAAGCCCUGGGUAAUUUUUCACACUACCCACCUCCAGAGCCUUCCAAUACAACCGAUGGAGCUUUGUACCUACUCAGGCCGGGGUGGGAAGUGCCUGGAUUCAGAUGCCUUGGUCUCCUAGGACUGCCAAACUCUUCUUGACACGUCUAUCAGGGAUGUCCCCACCUAACAAUUUCCCAUUACUGUAGUAAUGGCUCUCCCCCAUGCUUUCCCCUCACUCCUCUGCCUCCUGGCCAACUCUGGUACUUCUUCAUGUGGCUCUGCAUGGUGUGGUGUGCCUCCUCCUCUUGGGAAUUGUAAGUAAUAAACUCUUCUCUCAAAGGCAUUGACCUUUGCAUGUCAUCACUCAGUCAUACCUAUAAAUUAAAUCUUGGGUAUAUUUAAAACAGUUGUUUUGAGAUUUAAGUUUUACUUAUUUUUUGGUUUUUUGGAGUUUUUUUAAGGAAGAUUAGCCCUGAGGUAACAUCUGCUGCAAAUCCUCCUCUUUUUGCUGAGGAAGACUGGCCCUGAGCUAACAUCCGUGCCCAUCUUCCUCUACUUUGUAUGCGGGAUGCCUACCACACAGCAUGGCUUGCCAAGCAGUGCCAUGUCCCCACCGGGAUCUGAACUGAUAAACCCCAGGCCACUGAAGUAGAACGUGUGAACUUAAAUGCUGAGCCACUGGGCCGGCCCCAAGAGAUUUCAAUUUUAAAUGAGUCAAUU
RNAcentral lists this long non-coding RNA (1068 nucleotides) under Equus caballus (horse). RNAcentral describes it as "lncRNA (ENSECAG00000046607.1)". The record is from RNAcentral. Lineage: Eukaryota; Metazoa; Chordata; Mammalia; Perissodactyla; Equidae.